UACGAAGGGGGCUAGCGUUGCUCGGAAUCACUGGGCGUAAAGCGCACGUAGGCGGAUCUUUAAGUCGGGGGUGAAAUCCUGGAGCUCAACUCCAGAACUGCCUUCGAUACUGUAGAUCUUGAGUCCGGGAGAGGUGAGUGGAACUGCGAGUGUAGAGGUGAAAUUCGUAGAUAUUCGCAAGAACACCAGUGGCGAAGGCGGCUCACUGGCCCGGUACUGACGCUGAGAAGCGAAAGCGUGGGGAGCGAACAGG
Molecule: ribosomal RNA, 253 nt
Filed under: uncultured bacterium
Lineage: Bacteria
Description: partial 16S ribosomal RNA
Rfam family: Bacterial small subunit ribosomal RNA
Source: RNAcentral